Molecule: ribosomal RNA, 492 nt
Filed under: uncultured bacterium
Lineage: Bacteria
Description: partial 16S ribosomal RNA
Rfam family: Bacterial small subunit ribosomal RNA
Source: RNAcentral
AGUGAACGCUGGCGGUAGGCCUAACACAUGCAAGUCGAACGGCAGCACAGUAAGAGCUUGCUCUUACGGGUGGCGAGUGGCGGACGGGUGAGGAAUACAUCGGAAUCUACUUUUUCGUGGGGGAUAACGUAGGGAAACUUACGCUAAUACCGCAUACGACCUACGGGUGAAAGCAGGGGAUCUUCGGACCUUGCGCGAUUGAAUGAGCCGAUGUCAGAUUAGCUAGUUGGCGGGGUAAAGGCCCACCAAGGCGACGAUCCGUAGCUGGUCUGAGAGGAUGAUCAGCCACACUGGAACUGAGACACGGUCCAGACUCCUACGGGAGGCAGCAGUGGGGAAUAUUGGACAAAGGGCGCAAGCCUGAUCCAGCUAUACCGCGUGGGUGAAGAAGGCCUUCGGGUUGUAAAGCCCUUUUGUUGGGAAAGAAAAGCAGCAGGUUAAUACCCCGCUGUUCUGACGGUACCCAAAGAAUAAGCACCGGCUAACUUCGUG